AACGAACGCUGGCGGCAUGCCUAACACAUGCAAGUCGAACGAGACCUUCGUGCCUAGUGGCGCACGUGUGCGUAACGCGUGGUAACCUGCCCUUAGGUUCGGAAUCACUCCCUGUAAGGUGUCUUAAUACCGGUUAAUCUCUUCGGACCUAAGAUUUCGCGCCUUUUGAUGGGCCCUCGUUGGUUUAGCUAGUUGGUAGGGUAAAAGCCUACCAAGGCGACGAUCCAUAGCUGGUCUGAGAGGAUGAUCAGCGCGACUGGGACUGAGACACGGCCCAGACGGGAACGAGAGGCAGCAGGGGGGAAAAAAGGACAAGGAGCGAAAGCCAGAUACAGCAAGGGCGGGUGAGUGAUGAAGGGGUUAGGGUUGUAAAGCUCUUUUAACCGAGAUGAUAAUGACAGUACCGGGAGAAUAAGCUCCGGCUAACUCCGU
RNAcentral lists this ribosomal RNA (432 nucleotides) under uncultured bacterium. Its description in RNAcentral is "partial 16S ribosomal RNA". It matches the Rfam family "Bacterial small subunit ribosomal RNA", at positions 29 to 506 of the family's 1533-position model. The record is from RNAcentral.